GAUUGUAUUCUUAUUUUAGAUUGUGAGAUGAACUGGCGUCAUUAUAUUUUAAUUGUAUAGUUUCACAUUGAUUUAGAUUCUAUAAUUAAGAAAUAUAUAUUAAGUUUUAUUUUAUUCCAAAUUAUGUUUUCUAGAGAGAAGAGGACUGCACGGGGCCCAAUAGAACCCGAAACAGCCCAAAUUAACAAAAAAUAAUCAGUCCAGUUACAUUAAACACAACAAACCUAAACCCUAGCCCAGGAAAUUAAAAAAUUUCAGCAACAGAGAACCCUAGCUGCUGCUUGCCCCCAAGCCUCCAAGCGCCGCAUGCUGCCAGGCUCACUCAUGCACGCUUCUGACCACAGCCGUCGGCCUCGUCUGACACCUGCAGAGAAGAAUGAAUGCAAGCAACAGAAGAAUACAAAGAAAUAAAGAGCAAAAAACAAAAAAAUGAGAAUGAACAGUUGUAAUAGGGCUAUAAAAGCCAAGAUCUAAUCGUUGUAUUUUUUACGAAGGCACAUCAAGAAAUCAAAAUAAAACAGAGUUUUCAAAGGUUGAAUCCUUGCAAUUUCCUCUUUGUUUUCUCUUACUUAUUUGUUUUAUCUUAUUUUAUUUUAUAUUUUUUUUUUCUUUUGCAAAUCUAUUUCAAAUAACUAAAAAUCAAAAAGCAAAAAUAAAGGGGAGGGGAGCUCACCGGGUGGCCGUGGUUGCGCCGUCGGAGGAUCUCUCCUCCGUCGCCCGAAUCGGGUCCAAGCGGUCGUGGACCUCCUUUGUUUUCGACUCCCGUGGGUUGAGAGAGCUUUGGCUUUCAAGGAUACCGUGAAACAGGGGCUAACGGGACCACUUUCCGGCACCGGUCGCCGAACACGUUGGUGGCGCGACGGAGGUCUUGGGAGGCCGUCGGCCUAGCAGAGAAAGGGAGUCUCCCUUUUGUUUUAUUUUUAUUUUUAUUUUGUUUUUGUGUAUUCUUUGCAAAAGAAUGAAACGGCAGGAGUAAAAAUUGUUGCUUUUAUGGUAAUUAUUACCCUAAUGGGUAUUUUGCGC
RNAcentral lists this long non-coding RNA (1023 nucleotides) under Gossypium barbadense (sea-island cotton). Its description in RNAcentral is "long non-coding RNA (GBAR_LNC016293)". Lineage: Eukaryota; Viridiplantae; Streptophyta; Magnoliopsida; Malvales; Malvaceae. The record is from RNAcentral.